Molecule: long non-coding RNA, 3203 nt
Organism: Chrysemys picta bellii (western painted turtle)
Lineage: Eukaryota; Metazoa; Chordata; Testudines; Emydidae
Source: RefSeq, a predicted model, not a curated record
AACAACAGCGCGCGCGCGCCAGCCCCACGGAGCGCGCGCGCCAGAGGCGACACGAGAGAGCGCGCGCGUGCGGCCCACAGUCAUUUAGCCAGUGAACGCUCCACCGCUGAGCAUGCGCGCCUGGGAACUUCUGCCUCCUGAGAGCAGCAGCUCGAAGACGUACGAGCGGAUGCGACACUUGAGCGUGCCCGCCAGCCGUCUACGCUAUAUUGGAUGCGCGACAGAAAAGCACGUGCCACAACUCCCUUUGGAGGCGGAGCAGGCAGGCAGCUAGGGCACGCGCUCGCUCCUCCCCCCUCCCUUCCCCCGCGUGACAGUUCCGGGCGGGGGAGGGGGAUAGAGGGGAGCGAAGGGUUCCGCGAGGACACAGAGAGAAAGAGCUCGAGCGCUGGGAGGGGGGAAGAGCCGUCUCCCUUAUGUAACCGAGCGGGGCAGACGGGACGGAGGGGGCUGCGGACUCCUCCUCCUCCCCCCCUCUACGGAAAGUGCCGACAGCUGCCGGACUUGCCCGAAGUUCUAGACUUUGUUUUUUCACGCUUGUGAAUGACACAGGGGGAUCCCCUAUCGCGGGGGCGGGGCGGCGCGGCAGUGCCCGCGGCCUCUGGGCAUGGGGAGCCCGGGGGGGGGGGGUGUUGGGGAGCCGGCACGGGACAUUGCUGGGAUUUCCAUGGGGCCUGUCUGGUGCAAUACAGGACACAUGGUUGCUAGCGCCAGGUGGCACAAGCCAUUUGCUGGGAGUCCAGUGGUGCUAUAGGGACACGGGGUUUGGCAUGAGGCGGCACCGAGCAUCUGCUCAGAGGCCGGCCAGAGGGCACCACGCUAUGGGGCAGUGGAGUUAAGCCUGUGGUCUGCAGACUAUGUCUAAGAUUUCCAAAGGGGUGCCCACCUCUUCUUGAAAAUUUUAAAGGGGCCUGCAAAUUAAAAAAAGGUUGAAAACCACUGUGACAUGGAGGAGGGGUAAAAAUCGAUUUAAAAACAAUACAUGAAAACCCAAUUUUUUAAUUUAAAUUGGACUUUUAUUUUUUACCUAAUAUUUUUCCAUUUAAAAAUAAACCCAGUUAAAAUGAAAUCUGAUUUUAAUACAAAAUAUGUUAAGGCCUACAGAUAUAAUCGUUUAGGACAUUAAAUUAAAAAAAUGCUGAAUCCAUGAGUCUGUAUCAAACACUUUUCCAUUAAAGGCUUCUUUUCUGUAUAAAGAAAGAAUCAGGAGCAAAACAUCUAAUGUUUAUGGUCAAGCUUUAUAAAUAUGGCACAAUAGGUCGCAUACUGUAUUAAGGGCUUGAUCCUGUCACUGUGUUACUGGGUGAAAGAAAAAGGCAUUUGGACCUGAUCUCUGACUACAGGAGACACCUUUAUGAUCUCAUCAAGAUCAUUCAUUCAGCUCACCUGGAUGCUCUCCCUCUCCUGUUUUAUAGCUUUUCCCAAUGCGGCUCCUGAUUGGCUCAAUACUCAUCUUAUGACUUCACCCACUUUCUCUCCGGCUCAUGAAAAAACACUGAUCUGCCCAGUAACUACCAGCCCUUGCUUCUGGAUGGGUCUGGCCACUUCAAGCAAAUGACAUUGCUCUGUUUCCAUGCAAGUGUACACAGAGAGACAAACAGAAAUCCAUUAAUUUCUUAACUGCCUCUCAAUCUCCAAACAAAAUACUGUAGUGCAAAAGGAUCCAACUCAGGCAAAAGGGAUAUGAACUGCCAUAAUCUGCAGUUUCUACAAUUUCAGAGUCAUCUAUUGAUACCACCAGGGCUGCAACUAAACAGACAUCAGACAGUAAAUUACCUGUAUUAAAAAAAAAGACUCUUUGUCGUCCAGUAAAACCAUGGAUGAGUUUAUAAUCAGGACCAGCAAAUCUAGAAGAAGAUAACUUAGGGAACCUGAAAGAUAUACGGGUGCUGUGCUCAAUUGAUGCAUCUUCUAGCCAAAACUUAAGUACAACUCCAGGAGUAAAAGAAAGUAGUGUUGAAAUUGCAGAGUACUUCUGUAACAGCCAGUUUGCUUCAGCUUCCCCAAAGAGAGCAGGAGGAGCUAAACUAAUUCUCCCCCAAGAUGUAUGAUGGAAUUCAGUGGUUGACUGUUUUGAGCUGUUUAUUAAGAACUGGCCUAUUCUGAUGAAAAUUUGUGAAGAAAAUUGUGAUAAAAUAGAUGGGAUUAUCAUAAACAAAAUAGUCAGCAUCGGACUAAAGAGAAAUGUAGAAGACAUGCUGAAGUUCCUGAAACCUAUUUCCAUAGCCUUGGACAAACUUUUUAGUGUAUGUGCAACAUGCCUCAGGUGGCACAUGACCAGGAUUCAUCACCGAAUUUCGGUCCACUGGUUGGAUCAUUAGCUUCCCCGGCCCAGGAUAGGUACUGACGGGGAGUGCAAUGUGAAUGCUGAUCCAUGUCCUCCUUGGGCAAACUCUAGAAAGAUUACUGCUUGACACUGUUGAAAUUUGGAAAGAACUUCAAGAGACACUGAAGAAAGUAUACCCAACAACAAAGUUAAAUUGCAGGCAGUAAAGAAGUAAAUGAAUCAAGCACUUUCUCCACCUCUUUUCCAUGCCAGUAUUUUCAACCCAAGGUAUCCAGGUAGAUGCCUAACUGCUGAAGAACAUGCUGCUGUUACAACAUGGACAUCUAAUAAUCACCCCUCAGUCAUUCCAACUAUACUAAAUGUCAAGGCUGGAGGUGAACCACUCAAGCAGUACCUGUUUGCUGAUGAUGUUUUAAAGAAAGUCACACCAUUGAACUGGCUAAGCACCUGGGACCAGAGUUAGUUGAAGUGCUAAAUCAGCUUUGGACAGCAAUAGCUUUUUCUGCAGGCACAGAGAGAAUAUUUUCUUCAUUUGGACCAAUUCAUUCAAAGUUGAGAAAUCGAUUUGGGAGUUGAAAAAGCUGGAAAACUUGUCUUUCUCUUCCAGUCUAUGAAUAAAAAUGAGGAGGAAGGGGAUGUGAUCUACUAGUUUUAUAAGUCUGAAGGACAGCCUAAGUAAUUUACAAAACUGAUGUCUCAUUUUCAAGAAACUUAGGCGAGUAGGAACUUAAACUCCAGUCACUUUCACUUAGGCAUAUUUGAAAAUUUUCCGAGGCUGACCUGAAAUGAUCAAUUUAAUUCAAUGACUACAGUUAAUCCCGCUGCUCCUUUAAUAAAUCACUUAGUUGUAAAUGUGAAAUUAAAAGAGAAAUGUAUUUGAUUUUUGUUUAAGAAAAAUAAAUGUUAUAUGUUGUGU